Molecule: long non-coding RNA, 1745 nt
Organism: Tachysurus fulvidraco (yellow catfish)
Lineage: Eukaryota; Metazoa; Chordata; Actinopteri; Siluriformes; Bagridae
Exons: 4
Source: RefSeq, a predicted model, not a curated record
UUUUAGGCUUUUGCUUGUUUUCAGGUUCUGUUCUGUUGGGGAAAAAAAAAAAACUUCAGGGAUUUAUUGAAGCACUUCACAUAGUAUUCAGUGAUUGUUAGUCUCGGUAUAGUUAUAGAGGAAGACGAGCCUUGAGCAGGAUGUCCUCCAUAAGCCCUUUAAUGGUGUCAGUUUCUCACAGGGAUUUGAACCAUAAAGCAGUUCCUUAUCCAUAGAUUACCUGGAGUUCCAGAAGAUGAUGGCGUACUGUAUUUUCAGAUGGAUCCUUUUGAAAGUCGUAGGGCCUCGGCUUUGGUGUGUUUUUUUUUUCUUUUCUCCUCUAGAUCUCGAGCGGGCGGGUGUGUACGUGUGAGAGAGAGUUUGUAAUCUAUGUGUGUCUCCUGGCUGGCCUUUCUAUUUGCUGCGUAACACCGAGCUUGACUCCCACGGCGGCUCUGAGAUCAGAGGAAAGCUCUGGGUGGCAGAACGCUGGCGUGCAGCUGCAGCUACACACAGGAAGACGAGAACACCAUCCCACACACUGUGCUCUGCUCACGGAGGAGGAGGGAAGUGCUUCAGAGUGCGCACUGGCUCUCGUGGCAUGCUUAAACUCAACUAAGACCGGUGCAGAGGCAGUGCAAGAGAUGAGAGAGGCUUCAGGAGCGAUGGAGGAGAGGCACAGGAGCUUGCCUGGAGCUGCACCCAAACAUCAAAGGCAGAGACAGAGCUGUGAUGUCAUUUGAUUCGAUGUCAUCAAGUGGAUGGUGCUAAGUCUCCCAGGUGUUUUCAGCGUCCUCUCUGCAGUGCAGGCUGACAGGAAUGAUGCCAAUUUAUUCUGAGUUGUAAAAGAUUCACGCCUGGAGAAGUCAAUGGUCUGCAUGGGUCGGUUUAAGGCCUCCACACACAGCCCUGUACACCACUCACACACAUACACAAACCGGAGAAUUCAAUAUUUUCUUAAUGUAGUGUAUAAUCUAUUCAGAAGUAAAGCGCAGCAUGGCCAUACAAUGUAUGAAUUAAAAUACAUCCAUUUGUGUGUCUGGGUUGUUGUGGGAAUUGUGCGUAGCCUGAAGGGAAGGAUUGCGAAAUAAUCGUGAAAAUAUUUCUGUACAUCUUGACCUUCAAAGUGUACAGUGAUAUUGGUCAAUACAUAGUGUGUGUGUGUGUGUGUGUAUGUGUGUGUGUGUGUGUGUGUGUGUGUGUGUGUGUGUGUGUGUGUGUGUGUGUGUGUGUGUGUGUGUCUAACCAUACACUGGAAACUGAAGUUCAUAAAGCUUCAAGCAAUGUUCUAUAAUCAGUCGUGUUGGACGAUGUUCUCUAACAGUUUUUUUUGGUUUACAGGAGUGUAGCUCAGACAAGCAGAGAGAAGAUAAACAGAUUAGAUAAAUAAUCAUAAGUACAGUAGUUGCCCUUGUGUAUAAACUUUUGAAAAGUCCUUCUCUUAAUUGUUUCUGAACGCUGCUUGUAUCGAUGAAGGAAAAAACGUUACAGGAUACAGAGGAACCAUGUCGUGCUUCUACACGAAGGUUGACGCGUGUCAGAAAGGAUCAACUCCGUGUCUGACAUCAGGAUCAAACCCCACGUAAAAGCGCUGCUUAAUACAUCAGACAUGUACAACAGCGAUUCAGCUCUGUCAUGUGCCUUUGACCCCGAUGUCACUCAUGACCAAGGACGAGGGAUUUUCUACUCUGUUCUGCCCUUUUCUGCUUCUGUCUGUCAUUCUGUCACAAUCAUUCUGAUAACCUUCCUCCAAAUAAAGCAUGAUG